This 499-nucleotide ribosomal RNA is filed under the name uncultured bacterium. RNAcentral's name for it is "bacterial SSU rRNA". It matches the Rfam family "Bacterial small subunit ribosomal RNA", at positions 730 to 1220 of the family's 1533-position model. The record is from RNAcentral.
UGGCCCGAUACUGACGCUGAGGCCCGAAAGGCGUGGGGGAGCGAACCAGGAUUAGAUACCCUGGUAGUCCACGCCGUAAACAUUGUGCACUAGGUGUGGGAGGUUAUCGACCCCUCCCGUGCCGCAGCUAACGCAUUAAGUGCCCCGCCUGGGGAGUACGCCCGCAAGGGUGAAACUCAAAGGAAUUGACGGGGGCCCGCACAAGCGGUGGAGCAUGUGGUUUAAUUCGAGGCAACGCGAAGAACCUUACCCAGGCUUGACAUCCCGGGAAUCCCGCGGAAACGUGGAAGUGUCCUUCGGGGAAUCCGGUGACAGGUGCUGCAUGGCUGUCGUCAGCUCGUGUCGUGAGAUGUUGGGUUAAGUCCCCGCAACGAGCGCAACCCCUGUUCCCUAGUUACCAGCGGUUCGGCCGGGAACUCUAGGGAGACUGCCUGCGAUAAGCCGGAGGAAGGUGGGGAUGACGUCAAGUCAUCACGGCCCUUAUGCCUGGGGCGACACA